RNAcentral lists this long non-coding RNA (781 nucleotides) under Anser brachyrhynchus (Pink-footed goose). Its description in RNAcentral is "lncRNA (ENSABRG00000017485.1)". The record is from RNAcentral. Lineage: Eukaryota; Metazoa; Chordata; Aves; Anseriformes; Anatidae.
CUAGGUACAGAUUUUCAACUGUGCCUCCACAAGCUCUUCCUCAUGUGAACCCUCAAAUACUGCAGAUGAGUUACAUCAGUGAAGGUGAUUCUCGGAGGAGGUAUUUGAUUUCCACAUCCCGCUUGGACGUUGAUGGGGGCCAAGAGGACUGAUAUACUGGGAAACUGGCUGCAUGCUGACAGAGGCUGGCUGUUUAUGAGGUGUGACAUGGGCCACAGAGGAAGGAUGAAACUGGAAGGAAACGAGCUUGGACGCUCUGUGGGACGCCUGUCCCAGGACUGGGGUCUGUCCCUGGCAGAGAAGCGUUUCCGUGGAUGGGCUCUGUGCCUGUGGGGGUUCCUGGCUGCUGUGCUGGGGUGCACUCACCACUGCCUUCAACCGCAGGGCCCCAAUGAAAGCGCAAACCUCUUGUGUUGCGCUGCAGUGGGGUUGCAGUCGCCGAUGGCAGCGUGAGAGCGGGCCGCCUGCCAUGAGCCCCGCACCAGUGAGCAGGGGGCCUGGGCAGGGGGCUCUCCCUAGGGUCUCGCAGCUCCUCGUCCGGCGCUGGCCUGGGGAGCCCCACGAGCACCCAGGGGGCUGCCUGGUAGCAGCAGCGUGGCUUCGGGGCCCUUCUGCCUGCAUUGGACCCACUGCAGGGAAAGAAGCCAUGAUGUGAGAUGUUGGCAAACAAGUUAUCCGAAAAGAAACAUUUGUCAGUUUGAGUCAGAGCCCUGUUUGCUUCAGUGUCAAACCAGAAAAUAACUGGAAUCAGGUUGAGACUUUUUUUGUUAUUGAAAUAAAA